This 262-nucleotide long non-coding RNA is filed under the name Panax ginseng (ginseng). Its description in RNAcentral is "long non-coding RNA (PGIN_LNC018510)". Lineage: Eukaryota; Viridiplantae; Streptophyta; Magnoliopsida; Apiales; Araliaceae. The record is from RNAcentral.
AUAAUAUAAACAUGAGGAUGAUGACAAUGAUAUAAGAAUUCAAUAAAACAAGUUCAAGAAUUAAUUUAUCCAGGAACCAAUAACAUCCAAACUGUCAACAUGAUACUGCUUUGUAGAGUAAAAUUCAAGAAUACUUAGAAGAAUAUUUCCAUGAAAGGAUACUGGAUGAAGCGCAAAUAUCAAGGAUAUUCCACUAAUUUCAUGGAGUAUAGAAGUCAAAGUUUUAACCAACUGAGUAUAAUAAAGAAUGGAAUAACAAAAG